CCGACUUUAACUCAAGUGGUAGAGUGUUUGACUGUAGUAAGAAUCACAAGAGAUAUCAAAAGGUUGCUAGUUCGAGUCUGGCAAGUCGGA
Molecule: transfer RNA, 90 nt
Rfam family: tRNA
About the family: Transfer RNA (tRNA) molecules are approximately 80 nucleotides in length. Their secondary structure includes four short double-helical elements and three loops (D, anti-codon, and T loops). Further hydrogen bonds mediate the characteristic L-shaped molecular structure. tRNAs have two regions of fundamental functional importance: the anti-codon, which is responsible for specific mRNA codon recognition, and the 3' end, to which the tRNAs corresponding amino acid is attached (by aminoacyl-tRNA synthetases). tRNAs cope with the degeneracy of the genetic code in two manners: having more than one tRNA (with a specific anti-codon) for a particular amino acid; and 'wobble' base-pairing, i.e. permitting non-standard base-pairing at the 3rd anti-codon position.
Source: Rfam